RNAcentral lists this ribosomal RNA (547 nucleotides) under uncultured fungus. RNAcentral describes it as "eukaryotic LSU rRNA". It matches the Rfam family "Eukaryotic large subunit ribosomal RNA", at positions 71 to 647 of the family's 3401-position model. The record is from RNAcentral. Lineage: Eukaryota; Fungi.
GGGAUUGCCUCAGUAACGGCGAGUGAAGCGGCAACAGCUCAAAUUUGAAAUCUCCUUCGGGCGAGUUGUAAUUUGCAGAGGAUACUUUGGAGUCAUCUUUGGUCUAAGUUCCUUGGAACAGGACGUCACAGAGGGUGAGAAUCCCGUACGUGGCCGAGUGAUUUCUCCGUGUAAAGUUCCUUCGACGAGUCGAGUUGUUUGGGAAUGCAGCUCUAAAUGGGAGGUAUAUUUCUUCUAAAGCUAAAUACCGGCCAGAGACCGAUAGCGCACAAGUAGAGUGAUCGAAAGAUGAAAAGCACUUUGGAAAGAGAGUUAAAAAGUACGUGAAAUUGUUGAAAGGGAAGCGUUUACGGCCAGACUUGAUGGCGGUUGCUCAGCCGGUCUUUGCCCGGUGCACUCUUCCGUCAUCAGGCCAGCAUCAGUUCGGGUGGCUGGAUAAAGGCAUCGGGAAUGUAUCUCCUCGGAGUGUUAUAGCCCCUUGCACAAUACGGCCUACCCGGACUGAGGACAGCGUUCGCUUGGAUGCUGGCGUAAUGGCAGUCAACGG